CGCGUAGGCGGUCCUGUGCGUCAGAGGUGAAAUCCCCGGGCUUAACCCGGGACCUGCCUCUGAUACGGCAUGGCUUGAGUCCGGGAGAGGGGAGCAGAAUUCCCAGUGUAGCGGUGAAAUGCGUAGAUAUUGGGAGGAAUACCGGUGGCGAAGGCGGCUCCCUGGACCGGUACUGACGCUGAGGCGCGAAAGCGUGGGUAGCAAACAGGAUUAGAUACCCUGGUAGUCCACGCCGUAAACGAUGGGUGCUUGGUGUCGGGGGUAUCGACCCCUCCGGUGCCGAAGCUAACGCAUUAAGCACCCCGCCUGGGGAGUACGGUCGCAAGGCUGAA
Molecule: ribosomal RNA, 332 nt
Filed under: uncultured bacterium
Lineage: Bacteria
Description: bacterial SSU rRNA
Rfam family: Bacterial small subunit ribosomal RNA
Source: RNAcentral